GAGCGAGUGUGAGUGUGAGAGUGACAGUAUGUGUGACCCAGCAGUCUGCCACUGUGAUUAUACAAAACCCUGCGUGCACUCAGUUCUCGUCACAAAUUGAGCUAGCGGUGGUUCCCCGUCAAUGCUCCACCCCCUCCAUUUAUUGAAAUCAGUCUGCAUUCGCGAAAUGGAAUUGGUGGCAUGAUUUGAAUGCUUGCACUUUCAUUCGAGCAGUGAUUCUCGUCUGGGGUGGGAGGUAUGUAUAGGAGAGUAUGGCCUUUAAUACACCCACCCACUGACCCACCCACCGUCCUGAUGAUGACUGUCUUCCUGUGGAAGUUUGCAGCUGUAUAAGCCUGUAGAUGCUUGCACAGACUGCGUGGUGUUUGGAGUGUGAGUAAACCCAGCAGCCGGUCCGUCCACUCCCCUGUCCCACACAGCUGCUGUGGUCAGGGCCGGCGCUGUACAAAGCCCUUCCCCGGCUCAGGUGGGUGAUCCAGACCGACCGACACGGACAUGCCUGGCAAGACCGUGAAGCUCCGAGCCCUGGUCAUCCUCCUCACCAUGCUUCACCGAGCCAGGAGGAAGAAAUACUUAAGAUAAAUUAACCUACAAACCUGUACGUCUUUGAAGUGUGGGAGGAAACUGGAGCACGCGGAGGAAAUCCAUGAAGUCACAAGGAGACCGUACAAACUCCAUACAGACAGCACCCGCAGUCAGGACUGAACCUGGGUCUCUGGCGCUGCAAGGCAGCAACUCGACCGCUACACUGUGCAGCCCUUGUGCUUAUUUUUAAUCUGCGCCUUCUCUAUUAAUGCUACAACUCUGUAAUAGCAUUAUUCUGCACUCUGGCGUUUUUUUCUUUGUACUUGUGUGUAGUUUGACUGUAUUCAUGUAUGUAUGAUUUCACUGGAUAGCACACAGUUUUUUUCCCCCACUUUUUCUCAGUACACUUCACAAUAAUAAACCAAUACU
Leucoraja erinaceus (little skate) is the source of this 954-nucleotide long non-coding RNA. RefSeq lists it as uncharacterized. The record is from RefSeq and is a predicted model, not a curated record. NCBI's taxonomy places the organism in Eukaryota, Metazoa, Chordata, Chondrichthyes, Rajiformes, Rajidae. The transcript has 2 exons.